UACGUAGGGUGCAAGCGUUGUCCGGAAUUAUUGGGCGUAAAGAGCUCGUAGGCGAUUUGUCGCGUCUGCUGUGAAAACUCGGGGCUUAACCCCGGGCCUGCAGUGGGUACGGGCAGACUAGAGUGUGGUAGGGGAGACUGGAAUUCCUGGUGUAGCGGUGAAAUGCGCAGAUAUCAGGAGGAACACCGAUGGCGAAGGCAGGUCUCUGGGCCACUACUGACGCUGAGAAGCGAAAGCAUGGGGAGCGAACAGG
RNAcentral lists this ribosomal RNA (253 nucleotides) under uncultured bacterium. RNAcentral's name for it is "partial 16S ribosomal RNA". It matches the Rfam family "Bacterial small subunit ribosomal RNA", at positions 524 to 776 of the family's 1533-position model. The record is from RNAcentral.